CAAAUGACUCUCGGCAACGAAUAUUUCGGCUCUCGCAUUGAUGAAGAACGUAGCGAAAUACGAUACUUGGUGUAAAUUGUAGAAUCCCGUGAACCAUCGAGUCUUUAAACGCAAGUUGCGCCCGAAGCCAUUAGGCCGAGGGCACGUCUGCCUGGGCAUCAUGC
This 164-nucleotide ribosomal RNA is filed under the name Lonicera macranthoides. RNAcentral's name for it is "5.8S ribosomal RNA". It matches the Rfam family "5.8S ribosomal RNA". Rfam says of the family: 5.8S ribosomal RNA (5.8S rRNA) is a component of the large subunit of the eukaryotic ribosome. The record is from RNAcentral. Lineage: Eukaryota; Viridiplantae; Streptophyta; Magnoliopsida; Dipsacales; Caprifoliaceae.